GACGAACGCUGGCGGCGUGCCUAAUACAUGCAAGUCGAGCGGACAGGCGCGGAUCUUGCUGCUUUGAUGAUAGCCGCAGGCGUGAGAGUAACACGUGGAACAUCUACCUAUAAGUCUGAUAUAACUACGGGAAACCGGCGAAUAUACGAUAUAAUAUCUUGAACCGCAUGGUUGAAUAGUGAAAGACGGUCGUGGUGUAACGUAUAGAGGGAUCCGCGCUGCAUGAGCUAGUUGGUGAGGUAAAGGCCUACCAAGGCAAGGAUGCAUAGACGAGCGGAGAGGGGGAUCGGCCACAUGGGAACUGAGACACGGUCCAGACUCCUACGGGAGGCAGCAGUAGGGAAUCGUCCGCAAUGGGCGAAAGCCUGACGGAGCAACGCCGCGUGAGUGAUGAAGGUCUUCGGAUCGUAAAACUCUGUUAUUAGGGAAGAACAUAUGUGUAAGUAACUGUGCACAUCUUGACGGUACCUAAUCAGAAAGCCACGGCUAACUACGUG
Molecule: ribosomal RNA, 497 nt
Filed under: uncultured bacterium
Lineage: Bacteria
Description: partial 16S ribosomal RNA
Rfam family: Bacterial small subunit ribosomal RNA
Source: RNAcentral